This 253-nucleotide ribosomal RNA is filed under the name uncultured Helicobacteraceae bacterium. RNAcentral describes it as "partial 16S ribosomal RNA". It matches the Rfam family "Bacterial small subunit ribosomal RNA", at positions 524 to 776 of the family's 1533-position model. Lineage: Bacteria; Pseudomonadati; Campylobacterota; Epsilonproteobacteria; Campylobacterales; Helicobacteraceae. The record is from RNAcentral.
UACGGAGGGCGCGAGCGUUAAUCGGAAUUACUGGGCGUAAAGAGUGCGCAGGCGGGCUUGUAAGUCAGAUGUGAAAUCCUGUAGCUUAACUACAGAACUGCAUUUGAAACUAUGAGUCUAGAGUGUGGGAGAGGUAGGUGGAAUUCUUGGUGUAGGGGUAAAAUCCGUAGAGAUCAAGAGGAAUACUCAUUGCGAAGGCGACCUGCUAGAACAUAACUGACGCUGAUGCGCGAAAGCGUGGGGAGCAAACAGG